GAUGGAGAAGAAAGCGGGGCAACUCGCACCGACAGAUCAGUCUGCGUCCCAUCAGCUAGUUGGUGAGGUAAUGGCUCACCAAGGCGACGACGGGUAGCUGGUCUGAGAGGAUGAUCAGCCACACUGGGACUGAGACACGGCCCAGACUCCUACGGGAGGCAGCAGUGGGGAAUAUUGGACAAUGGGCGAAAGCCUGAUCCAGCAAUGCCGCGUGAGUGAUGAAGGCCUUCGGGUUGUAAAGCUCUGUCGGGAGGGACGAAAAAGCCAUGGUAAUGCGUGGUAUUGACGGUACCUCCAAAGGAAGCACCGGCUAACUCUGUGCCAGCAGCCGCGGUAAUACAGAGGGUGCAAGCGUUGUUCGGAAUUACUGGGCGUAAAGCGCGUGUAGGCGGCGUCAUAAGUCGGAUGUGAAAGCCCUCGGCUCAACCGAGGAAGUGCAUCCGAUACUGUGAGGCUUGAGUGUUGGAGGGGGUGGCGGAAUUCCCGGUGUAGAGGUGAAAUUCGUAGAUAUCGGGAGGAACACCUGUGGCGAAGGCGGCCACCUGGACAACAACUGACGCUGAGACGCGAAAGCGUGGGUAGCAAACAGGAUUAGAUACCCUGGUAGUCCACGCUGUAAACGAUGAGUGCUAGACGUCACGGGUAU
RNAcentral lists this ribosomal RNA (646 nucleotides) under uncultured bacterium. Its description in RNAcentral is "bacterial SSU rRNA". It matches the Rfam family "Bacterial small subunit ribosomal RNA", at positions 193 to 832 of the family's 1533-position model. The record is from RNAcentral.